CGCCCUGCCAACAGUCCUGGUGAUUACUACUACAAGAUUUCAACAAUUUGGAUUUGUAUAGAAAUUUUUCGUAAUACUAAAUAGCUGUAAUCUGCAUGAAAUGGUUGCAUACAUAUUAUAUGUACAUAUAUAUGUACAUACAGUAGCUCGGCUCUUCAUCCGUCCGACAUGCCUCAGGAACAAUGUAUUCUUAGCUACUUUGCAAACUUAAAUCCUUUGGCCGAACAGAUAGCUCAAGAUAUAGCUGAAGUGACUGCGGCCUAUGACCGUAUUUGGAGUACCCUAACUACUGCAGAACGCGACGCUAUUGUCGAUGACUCAAUCAUAAAGCCUGAAAUAUCAAUAUGGUAUUACAAAAAAUCUGAAAAUAUAAAUUGUUCUCCUGUUGAACAUGCAUUAAUUGUUAAAAGCAACCGGAAAGUAACGAAUAAUUUCAACCAAAAUACCAUUUAUGCCUUUAACGGGAAGAGCCUACAAACAUACAUACAUCAAAACACUUCACUGAAAGUUCUACAUGAUGAGAAUAUUGGGACCUACCGUGACGAACAUUCAUUUCCCUUUAGCUUCAAAACAAAAUCACAAAUAAAUAUUUCGGGGGCUUUCAAUAAUACUCCAAUCUUAGGAUCGCCUUUAGACGUUGCCAGUAAAGUCCUUCGUGUCGGCCAACAAAAUGCUUCUAAUAACCCAGCUCAAAAUCAAAAUUUAUCCAAGCCUAUUGCUUUAUGUUCAAGUAAAUUUGUAUGUAAUAAUGUAAUUAAUUUAUCUGCUAAAGAGAGUUUUGGAUCAAAAAUUACUUUAUUGACCAUAUCAACAGAGUCUAGCUUUCAUGAUAAUGAAUCUAGAGACCAGAUUAGUGAGAACUGUAAGUUACUACCUAAGGAUGUUCAAAUACCUAAAGGAUUCGACUUCUUAAGUAAUUGGUAGCAACUCUUAAACUAAUUUUUACAAUGACUGAAAUCAUAUUUUAGAAUAUGCCAAAUUAAUUAAUACCAAAAACGAAAAUAUUAUUAAG
Drosophila busckii is the source of this 1012-nucleotide long non-coding RNA. RefSeq lists it as uncharacterized. The transcript has 3 exons. The record is from RefSeq and is a predicted model, not a curated record. Lineage: Eukaryota; Metazoa; Arthropoda; Insecta; Diptera; Drosophilidae.